This 674-nucleotide ribosomal RNA is filed under the name uncultured bacterium. RNAcentral describes it as "bacterial SSU rRNA". It matches the Rfam family "Bacterial small subunit ribosomal RNA", at positions 94 to 803 of the family's 1533-position model. The record is from RNAcentral.
AGCGGCGGACGGGUUAGUAACGCGUGGGAACGUACCCUUCUCUAAGGAAUAGCCACUGGAAACGGUGAGUAAUACCUUAUACGCCCUUCGGGGGAAAGAUUUAUCGGAGAAGGAUCGGCCCGCGUAAGAUUAGAUAGUUGGUGGGGUAAUGGCCUACCAAGUCUACGAUCUUUAGCUGGUUUUAGAGGAUGAUCAGCAACACUGGGACUGAGACACGGCCCAGACUCCUACGGGAGGCAGCAGUGGGGAAUCUUAGACAAUGGGCGCAAGCCUGAUCUAGCCAUGCCGCGUGUGUGACGAAGGCCUUAGGGUCGUAAAGCACUUUCGCCUGUGAUGAUAAUGACAGUAGCAGGUAAAGAAACCCCGGCUAACUCCGUGCCAGCAGCCGCGGUAAUACGGAGGGGGUUAGCGUUGUUCGGAAUUACUGGGCGUAAAGCGCACGUAGGCGGAUUGGAAAGUAUGGGGUGAAAUCCCAGGGCUCAACCCUGGAACUGCCUCAUAAACUUCCAGUCUAGAGUUCGAGAGAGGUGAGUGGAAUUCCGAGUGUAGAGGUGAAAUUCGUAGAUAUUCGGAGGAACACCAGUGGCGAACGCGGCUCACUGGCUCGAUACUGACGCUGAGGUGCGAAAGUGUGGGGAGCAAACAGGAUUAGAUACCCUGGUAGUCCACACCGA